UUUAAUUGUAUGUUCUGAUUAUCGAAAGUUGGGACCAGGGGAGUACCACAGCUGACAUCGCUGGUUGUUACCCCCAUCAGGUCGUCAAGCAAUAUUCAUACUAAAAACACUAACACACAAAAUACUGUACUAUAAAAUACUAGCUACUACUAAAUACUAGAUUUUAUAAUGUUGCAAAUUCCCUCUUGCUCCCUGAGCAAACAUCCUCUUCGCAUUUUCUCUGUUCACAAUGUCGUGCAUGCGCUAAAGAAAUCGGAAGUUUGCAUAAAAACGGACAGACGGACAAGUAGUUGAACAUGACUAGACUGACUGUUCUAUGAUGCUGAUUAAGAAUGUACAUAUUUUCUUUAUCGUCGCGGUAAAGUGUCCUUCGUUGCCUUAAAGGGAAAUUAUAAAAAAAAAUCGAUCUAAUUAACAUGUCAACAUCAGGAAAUUAUUAAAAUUGCUUGAGAAGAACAUUAACUUUAAGUUUUAGGCAAAGAUUCUAUUUUAUAAGAUUGGAACUUUAAAGUUGAUGGGUUAGGUAGACCACCUAGCAACUAGAUCCCUAUCCUUUAAGCGCCACCUCUGUAUCAUCUCCUUGGAUUUUUCCAAUCCAUUCGACAAAAUAACUCUAUGAAUGGAAAGUAGGCCUCAGAAUCAUAAACUAUGCCACCAACUUCAUGAAAAAUAAAAAAAUUAUUGUCUGUCUCACAUAUACCAAAGACAUUGUUUUCGCCUCAAAAUUGGAAAUACAUCAACGGACUCCAGCUAUACUAUCGAUCAAAGCACUUAGAUCUUAUCAUCGGAGCCGACCUCAUGACGGGACUCAUCGUUCCGGAAACCGGAAUCAGAACACCAGACGAACCUCUUGCACAAAAUUCUCACCUAGGUUGGAUGAUACUUGGCAAUUUCCAGGAUUCAAUCCACACAUUUAAUAUUCGCUGUCAUCAAACCGCCCUGGAUACCGAAUCUCUGUUGUAGAAUUUCUGCGAAUCUGUCCCGAACCGAUGACUUCUUCUUUAAAGAAAUGCACACACGUCAACCAAAGUUUAGUCAGUCAAAGUUUUAUGGAAAUAUAAUUCUAAAGGAAGUGGCAAUGACACAGCUACACUUCGAGAACGACCGCAAUCACUUAUUAGGAUGAAACGACUAAGUGCCCAGUUCCAUCGCUGGCAAAUGGAUAAGGUUUCAUGUCAAUCUGAAGGACAUUAUCAAAAUCCGAAUAACUUGCAGCAUACGGUAUACGCCAGACUUCAGCCACGGUUAUCAGUUGCACGCUUUCUGCGACGGGUCCACCCCCACCGGAUUCAUAAUUUUUCACCACUCUUAUCACUGCAAAAUCCGAAAUCUCUUCAACGAAAUCUCUCACGAUUCCGAUAACCGAGGCGCUGUACUGGCAACAAAACUGACUAAAUGGGUAGAAGCAAACAAUCAUUGGAAAAACGCUCAAAUCUCCGAUACAUACUGGACGGUCGCCAGUACCGUUCUCCACUGGAUCAAAGAAUAUGUUACUAGAUGGAAAACGUUCGUCGCUAAUCGUGUUGCCUACAUUCUGGAGCACAGCGAUCCAAACUAAUAGAGACAUGUUUCCACGACAGACAGUAUUACAGCGGGGUCUAUCCCAAUCAGAAAUCUCCAUCUGUGAUCUCUGGUGGCACAAUCCAUCAUAGUUCAGUCAACACACACAUACAGAAGUACCGAACAUAAAGUUUGAUGAGCAGUCCCUUGCAGCAAAAUCUCUACGGAUUCGUGUUUGCACCCUACACCCAAGUUGACAUUAAUAUCAUUGAGCGGUUUUCGACUUGUACCAAACUUGUUCGAGUCAUAGCAUACAUACUGCGCUUUUGUCACAACGCUCAAUGGAAGAAAACCAGAUCUCACAAUCAGCUGUCGCCUGAGGAACUGGACAAUGCAAAUCGACGAGUCGUAUAAAUAGUGCAAGCCGAAAUUUUUCAAUUUGACAUCUACGCGAUCCUUGGAGAAAAUCAUCUUCCUCCUAAGAGCAUCCUAAGGAAUCUCACUCCUUUUCUCAACGAAGGCAUUUAACCCGGUCGCGGUCGUCUUAAACAUUCCAAGCAUUCAAUCAUCUGACCGCAGCGUAAUUUUUUACAGAGCUGAUAGUCAGCUCAGUCGUUUAACUACUCUUACUAUAACAGCCGUAUAGAGCAUUUUCGGCACGGCGCCACAACUGAACAAACAUAAAAAUCAGAUCAAAAAAAUUACAUAAUUUGGUCUAUUAUUCCAAAAUUUAAGUGUCCUGCCGUGUUAUUCGGUAAUCGGUAUAAUCGAUAUAAACAUAAGUUGAUAACGUCUGACUGAAAACGUGGUAUUUGAGACAGUUUGGCAAUAAGAUGCUGGUAAUUUUUAUUGUUCUGCAACAAUACAAUUUAUUGUAAAAUGUUGGAAAGAAAAAUAUAUAAAGUUUACUUACUCUUCAAUAUUGCAGAGGAUCACGAUUUCUUUCCGAAUUCAUCUAAGAAGAGUAAAGGAUAUACUAAUUCGUCGCCCUUCCCCAUAUAUGAAAUCCGAGCCAGUAAAAAAUAUACUUAAUUAUUUUAAAAUCUCAACAGGAUAUGUUGAGCAUUUAUAAACUGUUCAAGUUUUGCAAUUAAAACUGUUCCGUCUCAUUUUUCCAACA
Molecule: long non-coding RNA, 2620 nt
Organism: Drosophila biarmipes
Lineage: Eukaryota; Metazoa; Arthropoda; Insecta; Diptera; Drosophilidae
Exons: 2
Source: RefSeq, a predicted model, not a curated record